AACUCUGGACUUGGUGGGAUAAACCUUCAUUUCUUUGCAGGGAAAGGUCCACGUCUGCAAAUGAUAAUGUACCUGGAUUGCCCAGAACUUCCAGGGAGGUGGUUCUGAUUCCCCGGGGGCCUUGGGCCCCUUGGUGAAGCUAAUUCAAGCUACAGGCCGUCUCCCCAGGAAAGGACUCAGAGAUCCCCAGGUGCAAAGUCGGCGGAGUCCCAUGGGCCUGAGUCCCUCCUGGGCCCCGGCUUAAAGAGCCCCCUUCUGAGCCCGUGUUCCCCUGACUCGGCGCCAGCAUGGAUGGGGAAACGAGGAAGCCUUGCGUUUCAGUUUCAUAAAGUCGGCUUUGUCACUCUGUGUCUGUUCCCUAUAUGGUUAAAAUCUAUUUUAAGAUUAGAUCAUCUUUAAAUAGAUCUACUUUCUUAGUCUGCUUGGGCUACUGUAGCAAAAAUGCCACAGACUGGGCGGUUUAAACGGCAGAGAUUUAUUCCUCAAGUUCCGAAGGCUGGACGUCAAGGCGCAGCCGAUUUAGCUCCUGAUGAGGUUGUCUUGCCUUCUCUCUGUGUCUCCCCAAGAGACGGGAGGCAGGGAGGGGAGGGAGGGAGAGGAAGAGGCUCUGGGGUCCUUUGCUGCUUCUCUGGAGAACCCCAACUUGCAUGGAUGGCAAAGAGACAGGGGAAGCGCCCCCUCGGGUCUCCCAGCUGGAUUUCCUUCCCUCUGCGGGCGGGACGCCUUCAGUGCUGGAGGCGCCUCGCUGGCGAUCCAUCCACCGGCUCAUGUCUGUUCUGAACGAGCUACCACGAACAUGCACGGACAAGUCUCUGCGUGGACACGUGUUUCCAUUUCUCCGGUAAAGACCCAGGAGCCGGGUUGCUGGGUGGUAGAGCGCAGGCGUCUCUCUCGGGGACCACCGAGCUGUUUUCCUAAAGGGCUGCCCCUCGUGACCCCAUCGGCAAUGCCCCGCGACCCAGGUGUUUGCAUCCCUGCGGGUAUUUGGUUGUGUCUCUGAUUUUGGCCACAUUAGUGGGGGUGGGGGCGGGGUAAGGGGCUCUCAUGGUGGUGUUUUGUUUGUUUGUUUGUUUGCUGCACCUGCAGCAGUUGAAAUUUCCUGGGCCAGGGAUGGCACCUGCACCAUAGCAGCGACCCAAGCCGCUGCAAUGAAAACGCCAGAUCCUUAACCCGCUGAGCAACAGGAAAAUCCCUUACGGUGGUUUUAACGUGCCUUUUCCUAAAGCCCAGUGAUACUGAGCAUCUUUUCAUUGGCUUGUUCCCUGCAUUUCUUUGCUGGAGCAUCUGCUCAAGUCAUUUGCCCAUUAAAAUAAAAACAAACAACAACAACA
RNAcentral lists this long non-coding RNA (1331 nucleotides) under Sus scrofa (pig). RNAcentral's name for it is "lncRNA (ENSSSCG00055030425.1)". The record is from RNAcentral. Lineage: Eukaryota; Metazoa; Chordata; Mammalia; Artiodactyla; Suidae.